UGGGGAAUAUUGCACAAUGGGCGAAAGCCUGAUGCAGCAACGCCGCGUGAGCGAUGAAGGCCCUCGGGUCGUAAAGCUCUGUCCUCAAGGAAGAUAAUGACGGUACUUGAGGAGGAAGCCCCGGCUAACUACGUGCCAGCAGCCGCGGUAAUACGUAGGGGGCUAGCGUUAUCCGGAAUUACUUGGCGUAAAGGGUGCGUAGGUGGUUUCUUAAGUCAGAGGUGAAAGGCUACGGCUCAACCGUAGUAAGCCUUUGAAACUGGGAAACUUGAGUGCAGGAGAGGAGAGUGGAAUUCCUAGUGUAGCGGUGAAAUGCGUAGAUAUUAGGAGGAACACCAGUUGCGAAGGCGGCUCUCUGGACGGUAACUGACGCUGAGACGCGAAAGCGUGGGGAGCAAACA
This 401-nucleotide ribosomal RNA is filed under the name uncultured prokaryote. Its description in RNAcentral is "bacterial SSU rRNA". It matches the Rfam family "Bacterial small subunit ribosomal RNA", at positions 355 to 774 of the family's 1533-position model. The record is from RNAcentral.